Molecule: ribosomal RNA, 75 nt
Filed under: Alysiella filiformis DSM 16848
Lineage: Bacteria; Pseudomonadati; Pseudomonadota; Betaproteobacteria; Neisseriales; Neisseriaceae
Description: 16S rRNA. Bacterial SSU
Source: RNAcentral
CUGGCUCAGAUUGAACGCUGGCGGCAUGCUUUACACAUGCAAGUCGAACGGCAGCACGAGUACUUGUACUUGGUG